This 802-nucleotide long non-coding RNA is filed under the name Equus caballus (horse). RNAcentral describes it as "lncRNA (ENSECAG00000045824.1)". The record is from RNAcentral. Lineage: Eukaryota; Metazoa; Chordata; Mammalia; Perissodactyla; Equidae.
GUACUUUUAUACUUUGGAGGCACUUUUCCCUCCCUGAUGCUGAGAGGAGAGGAUGUGAGCAGGAGGGAGAGGAAGCAGAGAGAUGGCUGAGCGGAAUAUGUGGGUCUUUGUUUACAGGAGAAGGAUAAAGUUAAACGGGAGCCGGGAGGCUUGGCCUCUCCCCACAGUCAUAACUGCUUCAUCAGAAAGCCUUGAUGGAAGACAGAGCACUCUGCUGAAUACCCUACAACAGAUCUAAAUUCAGUUCAACCUAAAAACUGUCUGUGGUGCCUAGUAUGUGUCCAGAACCGGGGCUACGGAGGUGAGGUCUUAUGAAAUGGACGUGUUCACAACCAGCUGUACCAAGGAGGGUUAUGAGAGCCCAGAGCCAAUGCAAAGACAAAGAUAAAGAGAUGUCAACACUGACGCUUACCCUCUAAGAACCUGCCAUCUAAAAUUAACAGCGUGGAAGAGGACAUUAAACAAAGCACGCGCAUACAGUCACAGGGACUAUUAACGCCACGAGGAUGAAUCUGCCCCGCACACCGCCCCAGCAGCAGCGGCGAGAAGGAGCACGUCUGUGGUGCUCCAUCUAUGCCAGGCAUGCUUAAAAGGCUUCACAUACGUUAACUCUUCGUCUCCUCCUAGCAACCUCGUGAAGUAGAUAAUAUAAUUUUCCCGUUUUAAAGAUGAGGAAACUGGGCACUCGCCCACCUAGCAAGACACAUCUAGUCAGUGGCAGGGCCAGAUGUAUGAACACAGGAAGUCUGGUUCUAGUUUUUGAAACCAAAUCGUAUCUGGCUUCAACCUCACCAGGGUGGAU